AACGAACGCUGGCGGCAUGCCUAACACAUGCAAGUCGAACGAGACCUUCGGGUCUAGUGGCGCCCGGGUGCGUAACGCGUGGGAACCUGCCCUUAGGUUCGGAAUAACUCCCCGAAAGGGGUGCUAAUACCGGAUAAUGUCUUCGGACCAAAGAUUUAUCGCCUUUGGAUGGGCCCGCGUUGGAUUAGCUAGUUGGUAGGGUAAAAGCCUACCAAGGCGACGAUCCAUAGCUGGUCUGAGAGGAUGAUCAGCCACACCGGGACUGAGACACGGCCCAGACUCCUACGGGAGGCAGCAGUGGGGAAUAGUGGACAAUGGGCGAAAUCCUGAUCCAGCAAUGCCGCGUGAGUGAUGAAGGCCUUAGGGUUGUAAAGCGCUUGUACCCGGGAUGAUAAUGACAGUACCGGGAGAAUAAGCUCCGGCUAACUCCGUG
This 433-nucleotide ribosomal RNA is filed under the name uncultured bacterium. Its description in RNAcentral is "partial 16S ribosomal RNA". It matches the Rfam family "Bacterial small subunit ribosomal RNA", at positions 29 to 507 of the family's 1533-position model. The record is from RNAcentral.